AAUCAAAGCAAGUGCUUUGGAUUUGUGAGUUUCGACAACCCCACCAGUGCCCAGGCCGCCAUUCAGGCGAUGAAUGGAUUCCAGAUCGGAAUGAAACGACUUAAGGUACAACUGAAGCGUCCAAAGAUGCAAACAGGCCUUAUUAAACACUGCACUGAUAAAGGAUCUAUAAGGCGAAAUGGUAGAAACGCGUUAUGGACGGACCAGCACAGCGGGCUGCCUGUGGACAGCAGCUGCUGGAUUAGUGAUCAUCGAUAUUGAGAGGGAGAGAGAGAGUGUGUGUAUACAACGAGGCCGCCCUCGCCUUAUAUUGGGGAUGUUGCAGUUAUUUUUGUCGUGCAGAAAACGUCGUCACGAAAAGAGGAGGCGCAAAUUGGAAGCAGAUAUCUCACAGUUGCGUUGACGGGAAUACUUUAUGAUAAAGAAUGUUACUUGGUUUAUCCUUAUGCGUGCGUUUUCGCCGCUUCGCGCAAUCUGAACCAAGUACCACGUGUAUUCACUGGUUUUCACUUGUAUAUAAAGUAUGUUUUAUACAGGGAACACCGUUAAUUCUACUCACGUCAGUGGUGACUGUCUGAGACUAGCGUCGGACUAUUUACACGAAAGAUGUUUGAAAUUUUUUCGUCUGCUCAUUCUUCCCCCAAACAAAACUCUAGCUUGUCAGCCGUUACGAUGCCGUGCCCCUUCAUUUCAUUGCUGCUAACAUUUCCCAAAAUAGAGUCUCUAUAACCGAUUUAUAUACAAAUGAGACCCAACUUCAUUGCUAAACUCUCCAAAUAUUCCUAUAAGCUUUCGCGGAAGAUGAAGCACAUUUACACACGUAACAGCUAUAGAACGCAUAACGAGAUGAGGCGUAUUCUUAUUUAAACGCCCCUUUAUAGAAUGUAUAUUAUAUUCUAUAUGUACACAUAGAAUAAAGUAUACUUUUAGCGUGACAAAUGAUCGUCUGUAUAUAACACUCGAAAGGCCAAUAUUUUACUUAAAACGUAAGUAUUUCUACUUAAUAUAUUCUGUAUAAGUACGAUACUUAAAACAAUCUGAUGACUAAAGAGGCCCUCAUAAUUUUGACUAAAGAGUCUCUAGUCCUAUUUUGGAAGAAAUAUAUUUUUCUUUUCCUGUGUGAGUUCGUCCGUGGUGGGUUGGAAGGAGUAUUCACAGUUCAGUGCAGAGUGUGAUUGGGAGAAAUGGCCGAGAAGCCAAACAGCCAGGCGAAUAAGCGUAUCACACCUGCAUCGUUGUUUGUCAUCGUCCAGUUCAAUGUACGGUUUGGUGGGUUUCAGUUCCCAAGCGUUUUGGUGUAAUGAGUUCAUUUCACGUUCGUCAUCGGUGUUGUUCGUGCAGCGUGCCGUCCUUUUUGAUGACGUCGCUAGUACAUGUGCUGUCAUAGGUGACUGUUGUGCACGGAUACUGUGGAUAGUAUACUUGACCGUGAAUGAACUAUGAAUAGUCUUGCCAAUCGCUACGUGUUUGUUAAAGAUUCUGUCAGUUUUCAGCGAAACCCGUGAAGUCCAAAGUUUGUAGUAGUGUACGACGUCGCUUCGAGCGCGCGGCUCAACUCACAUGAUAGGUCCAUGACGCUUAUUAUUAGGUUGUUUAAACCAAAUGAUAUAAUCGAAAUAGUUGACCUGUAAAUUUUUCCCGUGUAUAUCUAAAAUAGUUGUUGAAGAAUCCCACCUCGAUGAAGUUACCUUUCCGUAAAGGGCAGCUACACAUGUUUUGACGCCAUUCGUUAUAGGGCUAGUAAAUCAGUACCGUCAACGAAGAGGUGUUAUUGCGAUUUUCGAUUUCUAUGUAGAGAAGUCAAGUCGGUCGCGUCGACAUGGCAGCUGGUUAGAUUGUAAUACCGUAGAUUCGCUUAUAGGUGAUUUAACCGAGUAAUUGCAAACGCUACGCGACAUUUGCUUGCGUGCUUGUCUCUGGAUCAGCCAGCACAAUGGCCUCCUGAUAUGAACGCAUUACGUUACGGCCGUUCCUGCGUCCCCCGUGCUCUUGGUGUUCCAUUAAAAUGUUAAAUUAUUGCAUAGUUUAACCGAGGGCAUUCUCUGCUGGAUCUCAAAACGUCGAUUUUGAGAUCUGUCGUGACCACAAUUUGCGGGACGACGGUUGUGAGACGUCACAGUCACGUGGUUCGGACGCGAUCACGUGUCAUGCUGACAUUGUAUCUUGGCUAAUUUGGCGGCGUGAUCCGCGGUAUGUAUGGGAGGAAACGUGUUGUUUAUUAGUUUCCAGCUAUAACUCUAGUUAAGUUUUCGAAGUAGUUUGUAGACACUUAGGUAGCGUUAGGCCUACAUCGCGUAUAAUUAAUACAAGAUUCACUUUAGAAUUUGUAAUGUCGUUUUAAUAUGCCGAUUUCCACCGUAUAUAUUGCGUUGUAAGUGACGAAAUAGUCUAAGUGCCAUACUCGUGGCGAUUGUUAUGCUUAUACAGACUUUUCCAAGCGUGUUAUCGCGUGGCGUGCGUGGUAGCGUGACAACGCCUGACGCUGUGAGAUGACAAACCAAUCAUAUGACGCGUGCGUCGUUGCUGCAUGUGUGCAGACGACAGCGUGGUGGAGCUACACGCUCGCAACAAGGGGGUUGAACAAUCGUUAAAACUACAUUGUGGCAUGAUCGUAAGCUUAGGAGAUAUAUGAUUAUUGAUUAACAGGAUUUUUUUCGUUUAUUUAUUAUCGACUUAUAUUUAUUGGACUUUUGCAAGUCAAAUAUUUAUUGGUCAGCAAUUUUAGGUUAGCAUACAUAGAGUAGUUGUAGGUGCGUUAAGAUGGUAACCAUCACAUAAAUCAACCGGGUGAAGUGGAAGUUUCGGAUCUAGUCACAAGCUAUGAGUUAUGACAUUAAUUUUAAUUUCUGUAUCGUUGAGUUACUGUACGUCGUUUUACAGUCUUGGUGUUCAGUUGUUAUCUAAAGACUUGUCUUGGUGUAAUUUGUUGGCAUGUGGUACACUACGCGUGUUCGCAAACAAUUUGUAUCCAGAAAUGCCAAAGAUGAAAUGAGUAUGUGACAAAGAUUGAGGACACCUCUAUUUUCAUAUAUUUAUUUAUUAUUAAUAAUAUUGAAACCUACGGAUAUUAAUUUCUUAUCAGUAUUUUAUUCGAAUAUUAUUUGUCAUGCGCAUGACUGCAGGGAACCAUGUAACCCAUUUCGCGUUUCUCUGCAGUUGGGAAGCUAGCAAAAUUACGUAAUAUAGCGAGUAGUGUAAGGCACAUUAUAUUAUCUCAUAUUAAACAAAGUAUAUAACUUAUAUAGCUCAAUGCCAACUUGAUAACAAUUAUAAUUCGUUAAUACGAAGCAGUAUUUCUAGGCAGAACAUGCGUGAGUAGCGAACGUGAUUGCUUACAAAUGUGCUGCUGCGUUUUACUUUCAUAUUUCGUUGGUCACGGUUCGUUGCCUUGGAAUGUGCUUUGUACAAAAAAAUAGCAAAAAAAUACGAAAAAGUAUAUCAUUUAUUCUUGCCAAAUAUACUAUUAGAUAGGGUGACAUUAUAGUUUUUUAGGAGAUGCUUCGUGAUUUAUUGUGUACCUGAGCUCUAGGCCGACGUUGAUGAGCUGUUUAUCAAUAUUUAUCAUUGUUUUGUUUGUUCGACCUCAUGAAUUUGUUCGGAUCGACGUUGAUUUGAUGCUGAAAUCGAUAACGAAUCUACAUUCCGCAUAAAUUUUAUUGUUGAAGAAAAUCAUUUCGUAACUAAAUCAUUCCUUGUAAAGGUGACUGUACUUUUUUGUUUUUAAAAAUCAGUGUUAUCCAUGUCGCACGAGCGAGCAUGCGCAUGCGCGGGUUUCGCUAUAUGGCGCGGGUUGUGCGCAUUGGUUCAUAUCAUAAGUACGAGGCGUCUUUUACCUGUGGCGGCAUUCGUCUCGGGUUUUUACUAAACCGUAUGUACAAAGUUACUAUUUUAGAGCUUAGAGAUGCAUUUAUGGGACACGAUGCCGUUAGGAGAACUGCUUGGUUUUUUGCCUAGAGCCGGAGUCUGCACUGCGCCACUGCCACCUAUCGGUCAAAUGAGUAUAUAGCAGCGGGCGCUGCUACACUACAUAUCAGAAUAUCAGGGCUUUCAAAUUUCAAUUUUAUUUUACUUACCUGUACAAAAUACUUGGACUCAAUGUUCUUUGUAUAUUUGGUGGCUCUGAAUGUCGUGGCAUGAUAGAUCAGGUUGUUUUAACGUGUCUAUAAGCCCGUGUGCCCGCUUGCGCUGGACAUCCCACAGUUCAUAAUAUAGUUUGAUCAACACGUCACACUGAGGGGACGGCGUUAAGCCAUCUAAACACGAGUAUGAAUUUUUCUGAGUGACGUCAUUAGUGUAGUCGAUGGUGGUUGUGGUUUGUGGCUGUGGCUGUUGGCUUGCCCGUCUUGAACAACUUUUGAGGCCAAAUCGGUGUUAAGAUUGUAAAUAUUGGUGUAUACAGAUUAUUGGAAGUCUUUAUUAUUACUGUUCGUGCUUUAUCAUUCCCUAGAGCUUAAUAUUGAGUUUUCGAUGUCACUUAUAUGAUGCUAUCGUGGCAAUGUUUUUGGUUGUUGUGCAAUACGAUGCGAUGAACGUUCCACGUGUGGGUGACCCAGAGGAAACCCGUUUCUGCUGACGGUGACACAUUCCGCGCAUUACCUUCUCCUCCUCCCACCCACCCAUCAGCCGUAUGUCAGCAAUUCGUGCUGGAGUUUUAAUGGAGGAGGAGCUCUGCGGUUCCGUGUUUCCCUAUUUUCGAAUUCAUUUUAUUUCAUUGUCAAAAAUGCAAAUUGUUUUCCGUGACCGCUCUCUCUCUCUCUCUCUCUCUCUCUCUCUCUCUCUCUCUCUCCCCCUUCUUUCCUCUCGUUCUUCUCCACAUCUUCGAGCUCUCCCCUUCUCUCUUUCUUCAUUCCCCUGUUCUCUCUCUCUCUCUCUCUCUCUCUCUCUCUCUCUCUCUCUCUCUCCCGCUCCCAUUCCUCUCUCAUCGUUUUUCUUCUCCGCCGCUCCUCUGAUUACUAGCAUAAUCUCUGGUCGUUCCAUGAUGUUUCGUCCAUUGCCGUUGUUCUUGCACUGUUUAACAGUUUGUUCCGGUAUAAAGGUAUUUUUAGUUUAGUGGCGGUGGCGACUGUGCAGACUCCUACUGGUAUUUCGCUGUUCAUCUAUUCCUGUUAUAGUUUUAUGCCAUGUAUAAAUCAUGGAUAUUUAUAUAGUAGAAAUCUUUCAUAGAACAUAUAUUAUCUUUCAUAUAACAUGACAUAGUUGCUUAUAUAUUUAAAACAGAUUUAUAAGCUAACUACUUAAGAUACAGACCAACUGCAAGUUGAAAAUAAAAUAAAGUUCGAAAAGCA
Priapulus caudatus is the source of this 5285-nucleotide long non-coding RNA. RefSeq lists it as uncharacterized. The transcript has 3 exons. Lineage: Eukaryota; Metazoa; Priapulida; Priapulimorpha; Priapulimorphida; Priapulidae. The record is from RefSeq and is a predicted model, not a curated record.